Molecule: unclassified non-coding RNA, 233 nt
Filed under: Hevea brasiliensis (rubber tree)
Lineage: Eukaryota; Viridiplantae; Streptophyta; Magnoliopsida; Malpighiales; Euphorbiaceae
Source: RNAcentral
GGCGAUCCCCCUCGCCACCGGCGAUCCAAUUGCUCCGGCCGCCUCCGCCUCUCCCGGCCAUGUGACAAUGCCCGCCACGGACUACCAGGGCUCCUCCGCGCCGUUCGCCUCGAUCGGCCGCUCCAUCCUCAGCAUCCGCCGUGACCAGUUCCAUCCCUCCGACCACGACGGCGGCUCCGGCCUCGAGGUCGAGCUGGAGUCGUUCCAGAAACAGGUCGCCGACCUCUUCCUCG